Molecule: transfer RNA, 73 nt
Filed under: Hirsutella vermicola
Lineage: Eukaryota; Fungi; Ascomycota; Sordariomycetes; Hypocreales; Ophiocordycipitaceae
Description: tRNA-Met
Rfam family: tRNA
About the family: Transfer RNA (tRNA) molecules are approximately 80 nucleotides in length.
Source: RNAcentral
AGGGCUAUAGCUUAAUUGGUAAAGCAUACUGCUCAUAACAGUAAUUAUAAGUGUUCGACCCACCUUGGCCCUA